Molecule: ribosomal RNA, 468 nt
Filed under: uncultured bacterium
Lineage: Bacteria
Description: partial 16S ribosomal RNA
Rfam family: Bacterial small subunit ribosomal RNA
Source: RNAcentral
GACGAACGCUGGCGGCGUGCUUAACACAUGCAAGUCGAACGGAAAGGCCCUGCUUUUGUGGGGUGCUCGAGUGGCGAACGGGUGAGUAACACGUGAGUAACCUGCCCUUGACUUUGGGAUAACUUCAGGAAACUGGGGCUAAUACCGGAUAGGAGCUCCUGCUGCAUGGUGGGGGUUGGAAAGUUUCGGCUGUUGGGGAUGGACUCGCGGCUUAUCAGCUUGUUGGUGGGGUAGUGGCUUACCAAGGCUUUGACGGGUAGCCGGCCUGAGAGGGUGACCGGCGACAUUGGGACUGAGAGACGGACCAGACUCCUACGGGAGGCAGCAGUGGGGAAUAUUGCACAAUGGGCGGAAGCCUGAUGCAGCAACGCCGCGUGCGGGAUGACGGCCUUCGGGUUGUAAACCGCUUUAGCCUGUGACGAAGCGUGAGUGACGGUAAUGGGUAAAGAAGCACCGGCUAACUACGUG